GCCCAAACAGGAUUUUUCCACUUCAUGCAAGCACCUACAUCUUUUUGUUUGUUUGCUUGUUUGUUUGGAGGUUUUUUGUUGCAUUGGAUGAAAAGAAGCUCUGAUCUCACCUCCUUCCCCAGGGAUGGGGGACCUCAGAACAUAAAAUGUUUUGACUCACAGUGGGAUGGGGAUGACAGGAGAGAUUCUCUUCGUGAAACUGAGCUGAGCAAGUGGACUCUUUCAUGAAUGCUGCUGCUGGAUGGAAUUUUGUUAGCUUCUCCUCAAGGAGUGGUUGUGGCAUCGCUGGACGACCCCCAAGGACAUUGUAGGUUGUAGCUUUCCAUCAUAUUUGUUUAAUGCCUGCAAGGUGGUUUUCUUCCUCCUGGCUCCACCACCCCAAUAAU
Long non-coding RNA from Melospiza melodia melodia, 386 nucleotides. RefSeq lists it as uncharacterized. The transcript has 4 exons. Lineage: Eukaryota; Metazoa; Chordata; Aves; Passeriformes; Passerellidae. The record is from RefSeq and is a predicted model, not a curated record.